This 241-nucleotide ribosomal RNA is filed under the name uncultured Staphylococcus sp. RNAcentral's name for it is "partial 16S ribosomal RNA". It matches the Rfam family "Bacterial small subunit ribosomal RNA", at positions 99 to 334 of the family's 1533-position model. Lineage: Bacteria; Bacillati; Bacillota; Bacilli; Caryophanales; Staphylococcaceae. The record is from RNAcentral.
CGGAUGGGUGAGUAACACGUGGAUAACCUACCUAUAAGACUGGGAUAACUUCGGGAAACCGGAGCUAAUACCGGAUAAUAUAUUGAACCGCAUGGUUCAAUAGUGAAAGACGGUUUUGCUGUCACUUAUAGAUGGAUCCGCGCCGCAUUAGCUAGUUGGUAAGGUAACGGCUUACCAAGGCAACGAUGCGUAGCCGACCUGAGAGGGUGAUCGGCCACACUGGAACUGAGACACGGUCCAG